CCGCUCCAUCCUUGGAUUCCCUUCUCCACCGGGUCCUCGCUCCCGGAGGCCGUGGUCCUGUGGAUGGAGCCGUCCAGCGGCACCGCAACGUUUACCACUACAGGUAGCCGGAGGAUGGUCGCCGCCGUCGGCGGGAUGCACUGGUAGCAUGACGCAGGUGAGACCAGUUUUUCGAUCUCCUGCACAGAUUUUGAGCUGCAGGAAUUUUGUUUGGGAGGAAAAAAUGCAUCUGCUUUGUCAUGUGUGUAAUUGAUCAGUCAAUAAAUGUUCAUAGUGUUGUGCUGCAACACGAACCGAUGUUGCAGGACAGCCAGGCUAUAUUAAAAUUUGAUCUUGUGCUAGGUUCAGAAGAUGUACUAUAUUUGCUAUAGGAUUGGAGUAACUUAGUUUAUACAGUACUUGAAGCCUAGACAGAUUCGAAAUUUUAGAAUUGGUUGUAAUGAUCUAACGGUAGAUAUGCGUGUACUUGGUCAUCUAUUCGAGUUCUUUUCAUGUCUAGAACCAACCUUGUAUUUUUAAGGUUGGCAAUCUUUUCAUUUGGUUCAAAUCUGAUAUGAAUUAGUAAUUGCUAGAUCUAUACACUUUGUUAUCCAUAAUCGCGAGUUAAUGGAUCAUUGCUACGCCUUGUGCAAGGGGAAGAAUAUGAGCUAGCAAGGGGAAGUAGCUGUAGCCUUUUUACACCUCACAAGAGCUUGGCCAUUGGUUAUGGUUCCACACAGAAUAUUCAUGUUUAUUACACAAGAUCAGAUUGUGCAGAAUGAAUCUAUUCAUGCUUAUUUUGAUGCAUAAUGUAAUCGGUUGCUUAUAUAGCUCGCUGACCAUUUCAUUUUUUUGUGGUUGGGUGUCGUCUCAAUGUCUCCACGUCGCCCAUGACUCCGACAUGCACCCGACCUGCUGCUUCUGGACCGGCGGGGGAGCUGAUGCUAUAACUGGCACCACUCCAGGGACAUCUACAAGGCUGGCGAGGGCAGCUCCAGCCUCUGAGCCAGGGGCGGCAAGGUGUGCUUUGUCCACGGUGACCAAGAAGACGACGCGCAGGAGGGAGCGGAACUGGAGGUGGUCAGGAGGUAGCAGCAGCCCUCCUAUACGUCUCGGAGGUACCUGCUUUUGGAGGGCGUUGAUAUGUGCAACAUGAGGGUGGUGAGGAAAAUCACGGGGGGAAUUGCCGGUGGUUCUCGUUCAUGUCUUUUCUGUUCCAAGAUGUGUGGCGGUGUUGUUUAUUGGUUCCGAUGACUCGUCUCAGCCGUUGUUGGUGUUGUUUGUGUGCCUGUAUGAUGGGCCUCAGUUGGGUUCCUUUGAUUGUAAAUAAAUGUAUUUCACUUGAAGUGUAGUGGUAGUAGUGGAGUAAGUAAUUGGCUCAUCCGUCGCUCGCUGGUAGUUGUUCCUCUUGGCGAUGGAUGGACGGACUUUCGGGUGACUCUUCUGGCCGAAGGGCAGCCUGAUGCGGCUUCGGUUUCUUCCGCGAGCUAUGACCUUAUGGUGUGUGAUACCGUUUGUGGGGCCUUUCUCCUUAUGCAGGGAGGCCAGGGCAGUGAGCCAUUGCAACCUCGGUGUCCCAAGUGGUAAUGUCCUGGGAGUCGAAAAGGCUGAUCCCGAGCAGAUGGUUUGAUCUGAUUGCGUUUCAGAGUUUCUGUUUGAGGUUAAACUCCAGGGAUGUGUGUGUGGUUUCUUCAUGUGUUGGGUCCUUCUGUAAUUGGCUGUGUAAUACUGUUUCAUAAUUAAUACAGCGACGAGGUCUUUCGG
Molecule: long non-coding RNA, 1743 nt
Organism: Lolium rigidum
Lineage: Eukaryota; Viridiplantae; Streptophyta; Magnoliopsida; Poales; Poaceae
Exons: 4
Source: RefSeq, a predicted model, not a curated record